GUGCUCACUGGGGCUGCACAUAUACUAAAGUUGGAACAAUACAGAGAAGAUUGGCAUGGCCCCAGGGAAAGGAUGACGUGCGAGUCUGUGUAACAUCCAUACUUUUG
This is a small nuclear RNA of Lutra lutra (Eurasian river otter), 107 nucleotides long. The record is from RefSeq and is a predicted model, not a curated record. Lineage: Eukaryota; Metazoa; Chordata; Mammalia; Carnivora; Mustelidae.